GAUGAACGCUGGCGGCGUGCCUAAUACAUGCAAGUCGAGCGAACAGACGAGGAGCUUGCUCCUCUGACGUUAGCGGCGGACGGGUGAGUAACACGUGGAUAACCUACCUAUAAGACUGGGAUAACUUCGGGAAAGCGGAGCUAAUACCGGAUAAUAUAUUGAACCGCAUGGUUCAAUAGUGAAAGACGGUUUUGCUGUCACUUAUAGAUGGAUCCGCGCCGCAUUAGCUAGUUGGUAAGGUAACGGCUUACCAAGGCAACGAUGCGUAGCCGACCUGAGAGGGUGAUCGGCCACACUGGAACUGAGACACGGUCCAGACUCCUACGGGAGGCAGCAGUAGGGAAUCUUCCGCAAUGGGCGAAAGCCUGACGGAGCAACGCCGCGUGAGUGAUGAAGGCCUUCGGAUCGUAAAACUCUGUUAUUAGGGAAGAACAAAUGUGUAAGUAACUAUGCACGUCUUGACGGUACCUAAUCAGAAAGCCACGGCUAACUACGUG
Molecule: ribosomal RNA, 497 nt
Filed under: uncultured bacterium
Lineage: Bacteria
Description: partial 16S ribosomal RNA
Rfam family: Bacterial small subunit ribosomal RNA
Source: RNAcentral